This 451-nucleotide ribosomal RNA is filed under the name uncultured bacterium. RNAcentral's name for it is "partial 16S ribosomal RNA". It matches the Rfam family "Bacterial small subunit ribosomal RNA", at positions 354 to 796 of the family's 1533-position model. The record is from RNAcentral.
GUGGGGAAUAUUGGACAAUGGGGGGAACCCUGAUCCAGCCAUGCCGCGUGUGUGAAGAAGGCCUUUUGGUUGUAAAGCACUUUAAGCGAGGAGGAGGCUACCGAGAUUAAUACUCUUGGAUAGUGGACGUUACUCGCAGAAUAAGCACCGGCUAACUCUGUGCCAGCAGCCGCGGUAAUACAGAGGGUGCAAGCGUUAAUCGGAUUUACUGGGCGUAAAGCGCGCGUAGGUGGCCAAUUAAGUCAAAUGUGAAAUCCCCGAGCUUAACUUGGGAAUUGCAUUCGAUACUGGUUGGCUAGAGUAUGGGAGAGGAUGGUAGAAUUCCAGGUGUAGCGGUGAAAUGAGUAGAGAUCGGGAGGAAUACCGAUGGCGAAGGCAGCCAUCUGGCCUAAUACUGACACUGAGGUGCGAAAGCAUGGGGAGCAAACAGGAUUAGAUACCCGGGUAGUCC